Molecule: ribosomal RNA, 157 nt
Filed under: Clusia amazonica
Lineage: Eukaryota; Viridiplantae; Streptophyta; Magnoliopsida; Malpighiales; Clusiaceae
Also listed under: 1 other name
Description: 5.8S ribosomal RNA
Rfam family: 5.8S ribosomal RNA
About the family: 5.8S ribosomal RNA (5.8S rRNA) is a component of the large subunit of the eukaryotic ribosome.
Source: RNAcentral
AAAAUGACUCUCGGCAACGGAUAUCUCGGCUCUCGCAUCGAUGAAGAACGUAGCGAAAUGCGAUACUUGGUGUGAAUUGCAGAAUCCCGUGAACCAUCGAGUCUUUGAACGCAAGUUGCGCCCAAAGCCUUUUGGUUGAGGGCACGUCUGCCUGGGU